This is a long non-coding RNA of Amphimedon queenslandica, 672 nucleotides long. RefSeq lists it as uncharacterized. The record is from RefSeq and is a predicted model, not a curated record. The transcript is spliced from 4 exons. Lineage: Eukaryota; Metazoa; Porifera; Demospongiae; Haplosclerida; Niphatidae.
UGGACAUGAAGCGGGCCGUGAGAGGGAGAAGAUGUAUAAUUUGUCACAGCUGUUCCUCUAGCUUUUUGUCACUUAAGAAGAAGGUAGUAGAAGAGAAGAGUCAAGAGUUACUGUAUCAAUUCACCCGUUUCUGGGUGAAGUAGAGCAAAAAAUUGGUUCACCCAUUUUUGGGUGAACCAGAACGAGCGGAGUAUGGUCAAUUUGCCCAUAGAUACUACAUACACACAUGGAUAUGAAACAGGAAGUCGGUAUCCAAUUAACUCUUUGAAGUUCACCUGUAAACGUCAUAAUCAGCGUAGCUCUAUCCUUGGCGCUUUUCUCUCUGUCUAUGUUUUCAAGAGUUUUCUUGAGUAACUUAUUUUUGUGAAAGAAGUCAACAGGCCUCAUGUUUACAUGACAAAAUUAGAAAACCUCCAUUUUUAUUUGUAACCACCUUUUCUAGACUCUCGAACAGAGUUAGCUAUGAGAACUGAGCAGUGAAAGAAUAGGUUAUUUACCAAGGAACACAAGCAGGAUUUCAGUGGCAUUGAUGAGACAUUAUUACAUGAUUGUAAAGCUUCAUAUUUAUGCUACCACAGAGAACUAUCAAGAUAGAGAUGAUGUACAUUACAGUAUGUACUGUAUGGUGAUACAGCAAUUAAAAUUUGUUAAAAGACUCAAUAAUAAUCAAUC